This 392-nucleotide ribosomal RNA is filed under the name uncultured bacterium. RNAcentral describes it as "partial 16S ribosomal RNA". It matches the Rfam family "Bacterial small subunit ribosomal RNA", at positions 523 to 918 of the family's 1533-position model. The record is from RNAcentral.
AUACGGAGGAUGCGAGCGUUAUCCGGAUUUAUUGGGUUUAAAGGGAGCGUAGGCGGGAGCUUAAGUCAGCGGUUAAAUGGUGCGGCUCAACCGUGCCCUGCCGUUGAAACUGGGUUUCUUGAGAGUGCAAGAGGCGGAUGGAAUUCAUGGGGUAGCGGGGAAAUGCUUAGAUAUCAUGAAGAACUCCGAUUGCGAAGGCAGUCCGCUGGGGCACGUCUGACGCUGAUGCUCGAAGGUGCGGGAAUCAAACAGGAUUAGAUACCCUGGUAGUCCGCACGGUAAACGAUGAUUACCCGCUGUCGGCGGCAGACAGUCGGCGGCCAAGCGAAAGCGAUAAGUAAUCCACCUGGGGAGUACGCCGGCAACGGUGAAACUCAAAUGAAUUGGCGGGG